Gasterosteus aculeatus aculeatus (three-spined stickleback) is the source of this 1889-nucleotide long non-coding RNA. NCBI's taxonomy places the organism in Eukaryota, Metazoa, Chordata, Actinopteri, Perciformes, Gasterosteidae. The record is from Ensembl.
UUAACAUAGCUUCACAGAACUACUUGACAAGUUAAUGUAGCUUCACAGACCUACUAGACUAGCUAACGCAGCUUCAUAGACCUAUUUGACAAAUUAACAUAGCUUCACAGACCUACUUGACAAGUUAAUGUAGCUUCACAGACCUACUAGACGAGCUAACGUAGCUUCACAGACCUACUAAGCGAGCUAACGUAGCUUCACAGACCUAAUUGACAAGUUAACAUAGCUUCACAGACCUACUAGACUAGCUAACGCAGCUUCAUAGACCUAUUUGACAAGUUAACAUAGCUUCACAGACCUACUUGACAAGUUAAUGUAGCUUCACAGACCUACUAGACAAGCUAACGUAGCUUCACAGACCUACUAGGCGAGCUAACGUAGCUUCACAGACCUACUAGGCAAGCUAACGUAGCUUCACAGACCUACUAGGCGAGCUAACGUAGCUUCACAGACCUACUUGACAAGCUAACGUAGCUUCACAGACCUACAGGAUGAGCUAUUGCAGCUUAGCAGACUUGCAGACAAUCCCAAUAGAUGAAAACAAAAAUAAACAAUAUUAAUUAAGUGUUCAGCCCAAAUCAAUACUCUGAUUAAACUUCUGAAGGUUUCGGAUCUUUUGGCUAAUUCAUACAAACGUAAUCAUCUGGUUGAGUACAAAAGUAAUAAUCAUAAAAAAAACCUUUUCAUUUUGUGUUUUUUCAAUAGCAGAUGGACUUUUAUUUCUGUAAAUCUGCCAAAGACUAUUGAUUCACUUUUCUAUAAGAUGGAAAGUCAUACAGCAGCUACUGUGGUCAUCGUGACCACGCCCAUCUCUGCCAUAGGAGGCGGAACUAUGAGAGGAGGAGGAGUCUGGUCUAUUUCUCUUUUUUCUAUACUGUGUUUUUGUUGUCAAUAAAAUAAAAACGAAUGUUAAACGCAAAACAAAAAUGAACCAAUCAAAAAUGGCCUUUUCCCCACUGGUGCUGAAUUUUAUGUCAUUGACUGACGUGUUUUCUGGGAAACAGCGACGCCACGUGGUCCUGAGGACUUUUCUUUAUUUCUCUUCAUCUUCACGAUCUCCGCUGAUGGAGGACAAGUGUGUCUCCUUGGACAAACAAGGGCAUGCUGGGAAAUGCAGUAUGUGUAAACGAAAGCACUGUGAUGGAGGGUGGGUUGGAAAACUGACUUUGCUUCUUGUUUAUCGGUACAAAAACAGCAAACGUUUUUUCUUUGAUGUUCGUGCCAUUUUGUCAGUUUUAAAAAAACGCAGGGGAAAAUUCAUAUGAGAUAUGAAUUCAUGAAGGAUUCAGAUGUUUGUUGUUAUUGUUGCUGCUGUUGUCGUUGUUUCCUCUUAUGUUCCUGCUUGCAUCACAAUAAAUUCUUGUACUUGUAGUCCUGUUCUUUUGGGUCGUGUGGGUUUUAAGUUUUUCUCAUUACCCGCCUCAUUUUUCUGUGUAUAGAAUCAGUUUUUUGUGGCGUAUGAAAUGUUAUUAAAGCAGCUGGAGGAGAGAAAAAGUACCGGAACCCGUUCUGAUGCUGGUUUUGUGAGAGGGGGUGAGACCUCCACGAUGUCCUUCUUUUACAGUGUCUAUGAGAAGAUUUUUUUUUUACAUAGAAAUGUCUGCAUAUUGUAUUCUCUAAAAGACGAAAAAACAAAUCUGUUUUUCUAUAUUUUCUUAUUGGAUGCUUAUAAAGUCCUGUUGAAUAUUGCAAUUAUCCGAUUGGCUAGAGAGCUUACGCGGGGUCGGAGGUCAUCAGGCCUCUUCAGGACUUUAUUUUUCUGCGCUGCAUGAGCUGGAAGAAUAAAAAUUUAAAAUACAUUUACUGAAUUUACUUUUACGACAAGAGAAAAUGUUAAAAAGUGUAUCAAUCUGUGUCUGAUAAGGUCACCAAUAAAAAUAUGUUCCACU